RNAcentral lists this transfer RNA (74 nucleotides) under Methanothermococcus okinawensis IH1. Its description in RNAcentral is "tRNA-Arg (GCG) (tRNA-Arg-GCG-1-1)". It matches the Rfam family "tRNA". From Rfam's summary of the family: Transfer RNA (tRNA) molecules are approximately 80 nucleotides in length. Their secondary structure includes four short double-helical elements and three loops (D, anti-codon, and T loops). Lineage: Archaea; Methanobacteriati; Methanobacteriota; Methanococci; Methanococcales; Methanococcaceae. The record is from RNAcentral.
GCCCCUGUGGGUUAGUCAGGACAUGCUUGCGAACUGCGGAUUCGCCGACCCGGGUUCAAAUCCCGGCAGGGGCG